Molecule: unclassified non-coding RNA, 269 nt
Filed under: plant metagenome
Description: partial contains small subunit ribosomal RNA, internal transcribed spacer 1, and 5.8S ribosomal RNA
Source: RNAcentral
UUUCCGUAGGUGAACCUGCGGAAGGAUCAUUAAUGAGUUGUCAUGGGGUUCGAUGCUGGCAGCCAAUUUUUGGAUGCAUGUGCUUGCCCUAACAAUCAUCUUCCAAACACCUGUGCACAUUUUUGAGGGAGUCUUGUGUUGGUUGCCGCUCUUGGGUGAUUUUCUCACAUUCCCUUAAAUCAUUAUACGCUAUUAACAAUGUUGAACGUGCUCUGUGCCGCAAGGCUAUUAAUAUAAUACAACUUUUAACAACGGAUCUCUUGGCUCUC